CAUCAUCAUACAGAACCAAUUCCAAACUAUGGAACCAUCUCUGCCAAUUCAUACUAAUAUACAGAGGGCAAGACAAUUUUAGUCAUAAGACUAUUUAAAUAUCUGUGUAGCUAUAUGUUCUCACUAGAACAAAUUCAAAAGAAAAAAAUAUUUUUUAAAUGUAGUAUAAAAGAAAGUUCACAUUCCCAGUAAUAUUUAAAAUACAUGAAAAACCUCUUACGUGGUGUAAAUGAUAAUCAAAUGGAUGCUAUUCAAUAACAAUGAAUUCAACCUCUGUGAGUUGGGGCACCAUAACUUAAUCAUCAAAAGUGCAGUGAGGCUAGAAGGUAUGUAUUUUAUAUCUGAAUCAAAUAAAACAAUCCAACACCGGCUCAUUCAUUAUUCUGUAUACAUUUUCCUCAGUUACUGAAAUGAAAGAUGGUGGCAUGGGUGUUUACUUAAAAAUCUCUCAGAUCUCCUUUAGUAUAAAAGAAACAGAUGUAACUGCAUUGUUGAGCUUAACAAACAUCUAAGUUAAACAAAACUGUGCUGAGACCCACAAUCAACAAGUCUGUAGAGUGCCUAGGUUUCCUUGACACUCCUGAUCACCUAAUUAAAGACUGAUGGAAGGCUGAGUAUUUAUGAUGCGCUGUACUAAGGGCUUGUGCACAUGUUUUCACCAAGUCUCAAAAUAAAUAUCUAUGAGUUACAACUAUUCUUAUAAUUGUUUAAUAGGAAGUACUGAGAAAUGAAGUGUCCUGAGCAAAGGCUAGAAUGAAGCGUGAGUUUGGAUCAAUCACUGUUGGAGUCAGUCUGACAGAAAAGCAUUUAAAUACUAUAUUAGUGGGCCUAUGAAGAGAAUGUUUAAAUCUCCCUAAUACUACCAUCAGUGCUCAGUCAUGAGAACAGUGCCAGAGAUUAGGAAUCUAAUCACAUCACAGUAGUGCAUGUGUGACCCAUGGAAUGAUCAUGAGUCAAGUUUGCUGGCAUGGGGAAACAGUAUUACUUGCACCUCAGUCAUCCACAGAGGAGACAAUCAACCAAGGAGACUCAGAGGAGGUAACCAUAUAACCAUAAAGAGGUCAAAGGCACCUCUUCCCUUGAGAAUGCAGUUCAGGGGUAAGAAUUCUAAAGGACUGCGGUGGACAAAGCAGGAGAUUACAAGGAUCAGAGAGGCACUUCUAAAGCAGAAGCCAAGAAUAAUCAAUGUGGCCACCUGCCAAGGAAGGUAACUGCAGGAAAACAAAGGCCAAUUCACCCACACCUCCGCAGGUAGGAAAUUGGCCUCAAAUGUAGCCCACUUUAGCCUAACAAAUGAAUCAGGUUUUAAAACUAGGAACUUCCCUCCUCCCUCAACACAUCACAUUAUGAAAGUAUGGAACAGAGUGGGUAACUUGCGUGUAUUUGCCUCCCCAUUUCCAGAAAAUCCUGUCUUCAAAGCUAUUUUUUUAGGGAUUAUAAGAAGACUAAGAAAUACAAAGAAUGCCUUUGUGGCUCAGCACACUGUUUAUAUCCAGAUAUCAUGAAGCUUUGCAUUCAAACCCCAGUUGUAAUGGAGUUCCACAGUAGAAUGGGUACAGUGAAUGCAACCACCAUGAAUGUUGGCAGAUUAUUAUACAAAGGGCAGUUAUCCCACAGAGAGGGCUGGCAGGUUGACAGGGGACCAACAAACGAAUAAACUGAAAGGCAUAAUGAGCCCGAUUUCCACCCUAAUACACACACACACACACACACACACACACACACACACAGGCACUCACUCA
Molecule: long non-coding RNA, 1742 nt
Organism: Leopardus geoffroyi (Geoffroy's cat)
Lineage: Eukaryota; Metazoa; Chordata; Mammalia; Carnivora; Felidae
Exons: 2
Source: RefSeq, a predicted model, not a curated record